GAUGGAGUAGCUCAGUAGGAUAGAGCAGCAGCCUUCUAAGCUGUCGGUCGGUGGUUCGAAUCCACCCACCAUCGCCA
Molecule: transfer RNA, 77 nt
Filed under: Escherichia coli
Lineage: Bacteria; Pseudomonadati; Pseudomonadota; Gammaproteobacteria; Enterobacterales; Enterobacteriaceae
Also listed under: 2 other names
Description: tRNA-Arg
Rfam family: tRNA
About the family: Transfer RNA (tRNA) molecules are approximately 80 nucleotides in length. Their secondary structure includes four short double-helical elements and three loops (D, anti-codon, and T loops). Further hydrogen bonds mediate the characteristic L-shaped molecular structure. tRNAs have two regions of fundamental functional importance: the anti-codon, which is responsible for specific mRNA codon recognition, and the 3' end, to which the tRNAs corresponding amino acid is attached (by aminoacyl-tRNA synthetases). tRNAs cope with the degeneracy of the genetic code in two manners: having more than one tRNA (with a specific anti-codon) for a particular amino acid; and 'wobble' base-pairing, i.e. permitting non-standard base-pairing at the 3rd anti-codon position.
Source: RNAcentral